UGCGUAGGUGGAAAAAUAAGUCAGUGGUGAAAGUCUGCCGCUUAACGGUAGGACUGCCAUUGAUACUGUUUUUCUUGAGUAUGGUUGAGGUAAGCGGAAUGUGUAGUGUAGCGGUGAAAUGCAUAGAUAUUACACAGAACGCCAAUUGCGAAGGCAGCUUACUAAACCAUCACUGACACUGAUGCACGAAAGCGUGGGUAGCGAACAGGAUUAGAUACCCUGGUAGUCC
Molecule: ribosomal RNA, 229 nt
Filed under: uncultured bacterium
Lineage: Bacteria
Description: partial 16S ribosomal RNA
Rfam family: Bacterial small subunit ribosomal RNA
Source: RNAcentral